GAAGACGUUCCCUAAUUAAUUUAAUCAUAAGGAGAGACAUGGUGAUGAGAAGUGUCUUCCACCCCCAUAACUAAUCUAUUGAACCAAUCAAGAUAAUCUAAGUUUCAAUGAUCAAUCCAAACAACCAAAGUGGAUCCAUAUCUUCAACUAGACUUUUCUCGUAUUGAUUUCCUCUUUUAUUUUAAUUAUUUGCUUUCUAUUAUUACUCUCAUUAUUAGUUACUACAAUCAAUCUCAAACCCCCCAUUUUACUUUUACUGCAAUUUAUUUUUGCUUUCAGUUUAUCUCGUUUGAUCCCACUUUCAGUUUUUAUCUCACUUUUAGUUUAUUUUCUUUGUCAUAAAAAGAGAAAUAGGUGAGUUCUCAAUUCUCUAUGGAUUCGAUCCUUUCACCACUAUCUACAAGUGUAAAUUUGUUGAUAACCAGAAAGGUUAUUUUUGACCGGCUUCGACAACCGC
RNAcentral lists this long non-coding RNA (457 nucleotides) under Manihot esculenta (cassava). RNAcentral describes it as "long non-coding RNA (MESC_LNC012141)". The record is from RNAcentral. Lineage: Eukaryota; Viridiplantae; Streptophyta; Magnoliopsida; Malpighiales; Euphorbiaceae.